This 491-nucleotide ribosomal RNA is filed under the name uncultured bacterium. Its description in RNAcentral is "partial 16S ribosomal RNA". It matches the Rfam family "Bacterial small subunit ribosomal RNA", at positions 29 to 506 of the family's 1533-position model. The record is from RNAcentral.
AGUGAACGCUGGCGGUAGGCCUAACACAUGCAAGUCGAACGGCAGCACAGUAAGAGCUUGCUCUUACGGGUGGCGAGUGGCGGACGGGUGAGGAAUACAUCGGAAUCUACUUUUUCGUGGGGGAUAACGUAGGGAAACUUACGCUAAUACCGCAUACGACCUACGGGUGAAAGCAGGGGAUCUUCGGACCUUGCGCGAUUGAAUGAGCCGAUGUCGGAUUAGCUAGUUGGCGGGGUAAAGGCCCACCAAGGCGACGAUCCGUAGCUGGUCUGAGAGGAUGAUCAGCCACACUGGAACUGAGACACGGUCCAGACUCCUACGGGAGGCAGCAGUGGGGAAUAUUGGACAAUGGGCGCAAGCCUGAUCCAGCCAUACCGCGUGGGUGAAGAAGGCCUACGGGUUGUAAAGCCCUUUUGUUGGGAAAGAAAAGCAGCAGGUUAAUACCCCGCUGUUCUGACGGUACCCAAAGAAUAAGCACCGGCUAACUUCGU